AAGACUAUACUUUCAGGGAUCAUUUCUAUAGUUCUUGACUUGGAAAUGCGUUUCGGAAGUGUCGUGUCUCGCUACUCACGAUGAUGAUGCGUAACGCUUCUCUCUGAGCGCGAAUCGGGCAGCAGCUGCAACUCACGUUCCACGCUGCUGCCAUUGAUGACCGUUCAUCAGUCGGCAACGAGAGAUGAGGAGAGGAGUGUUUACAGAGUGAU
Molecule: small nucleolar RNA, 212 nt
Gene: U3
Rfam family: Small nucleolar RNA U3
About the family: Small nucleolar RNAs (snoRNAs) are involved in the processing and modification of rRNA in the nucleolus.
Source: Ensembl